AGAGUUUGAUCCUGGCUCAGGAUGAACGCUGGCGGCGUGCGUAAUACAUGCAAGUCGAGCGAACCACUUCGGUGGUGAGCGGCGAACGGGUGAGUAACACGUAGGUGAUCUGCCCAUCAGACGGGGACAACGAUUGGAAACGAUCGCUAAUACCGGAUAGGACGAAAGUUUAAAGGUGCUUCUGGCACCGCUGAUGGAUGAGCCUGCGGCGCAUUAGCUAGUUGGUAGGGUAAAGGCCUACCAAGGCGACGAUGCGUAGCCGACCUGAGAGGGUGAACGGCCACACUGGGACUGAGACACGGCCCAGACUCCUACGGGAGGCAGCAGUAGGGAAUCUUCGGCAAUGGGCGAAAGCCUGACCGAGCAACGCCGCGUGAAUGAUGAAGGCCUUCGGGUUGUAAAAUUCUGUUAUAAGGGAAGAACGACUUUAGUAGGAAAUGGCUAGAGUGUGACGGUACCUUAUGAGAAAGCCACGGCUAACUACGUGCCAGCAGCCGCGGUAAUACGUAGGUGGCGAGCGUUAUCCGGAAUUAUUGGGCGUAAAGAGCGCGCAGGUGGUUGAUUAAGUCUGAUGUGAAAGCCCACGGCUUAACCGUGGAGGGUCAUUGGAAACUGGUCGACUUGAGUGCAGAAGAGGGAAGUGGAAUUCCAUGUGUAGCGGUGAAAUGCGUAGAGAUAUGGAGGAACACCAGUGGCGAAGGCGGCUUCCUGGUCUGUAACUGACACUGAGGCGCGAAAGCGUGGGGAGCAAACAGGAUUAGAUACCCUGGUAGUCCACGCCGUAAACGAUGAGUGCUAAGUGUUGGGGGUCGAACCUCAGUGCUGAAGUUAACGCAUUAAGCACUCCGCCUGGGGAGUACGGUCGCAAGACUGAAACUCAAAGGAAUUGACGG
This 893-nucleotide ribosomal RNA is filed under the name uncultured bacterium. RNAcentral describes it as "bacterial SSU rRNA". It matches the Rfam family "Bacterial small subunit ribosomal RNA", at positions 8 to 916 of the family's 1533-position model. The record is from RNAcentral.